CUAAAUUUACGGGACUAGUGUGGUUUUCUGCAUACACAAUGCCUUGUCUCAGUCCAGUGUAUGUAAACAGGACGUGAACCACCUAAAUGCCCUUGCUACUUCGACUCUGUCUGGUGACCCGAAAGAGUAUGUAACAGGCCUUGUUUCAUAUUAAUGAAGAUUAUAGAUGCAAAAACUGGAAAGGAGAAACAUGUUACAAUUUCUGUUGAUGGUGGAACUCGACCGAACACAUCAUUGUCUGAUUUAGCAAAGCUCAAACAUGCAUUUAAGGAGGGUGGAUUUCAACAGAUUGUUGAGGCCCAUGAUUUCAACAGUCUGAUUCAAGUAACCAAUUUUCCACACACAUUGCCAGAGAAUCAAAGUUCUUCUCCAAUUAGUUAUUGAAGUUGACCCUUUUUUUUCCCCAUUUUGUAAUUUAUUAGAAGAUUGUGCUAAAAGUUGUACCAUCUUUUUUCCUGUCUGACAGAGCUCACAGUCGUGGCGGAAGGCAAUAAAUUACAGGUGUUGAUGGGAUUCAUCUGCUAGAUUGUGAGCAAUCAGAGUCAUCACCCACAUAUAGGUAAAUAUAGAAGGACCACUUUUGUUUCUUCUCCAAAGAGAUUAUUUUCGUGAUAUUUUUGUAGUUGUAUGGUUACAUAUUUACAGUUAAUAGAUUAGCAAGAGGCCACAACAACCUUAACAGGUUUGGAUCCAUGGUUUGCCGCAAACAACAGGGAAUUUCUUCUUAAGAAUUUCUUAGUGAUACAGCAAACAGGAAAAGGGUUGAAAUUUGAUAUCUCAGCCACUCAAAAUUAAGAGUUAUUUUAGCAGCAUGGAGUAUUUUACUCGAUGUCAAAAGCUAUGUCAAAUAGAAACCAGGAGAAUGGUUAUUGUGAUGGGGAUAAUAACAUCUGCAGCAGAAUGCCUUAUGAUUCCUUCUGAAGGUAUUAAAAGACUUGGAGAAGAAAUGAGGCCUGUAAAAUUGACCCAUCUCUGAAUACAAUUGCCGCAACAUUCUGUGAUCAGGUACAUGACACUCCCAUCCCAAAUGUGAACCAUUGAAACUUGUUUCACGGAUCACUUUCACUUUCAAUGUGCUUGUCCACAUUAGUAAGGGCCACUAGCUGAACUGUCUGAUUCAUUUUUCACUGAUAUUGCCAACUGUACAUUGGAGCAGUGAUGAACUGAGAUCAGUUCAUUGCUGUAGAAUUAUAAAAGGGCCUCUUGCAUGUGUAGACAUGUAGAUGAUCAGAUGUAGUCUUGGGUAACUUGGAGAAAAAAGAUUCAUAGAUUCGAAAACAGAUUUUUUUUUUUUUUUUUUCCAUUCAAAUUUCCUGAUGCAUCAAGACACCUAUAAUUCCAACACCCAAUGAAUAGAUUGCAUCCAGAAGUUUAUAGACUGAAAGGUUCAGAUUGUUUGAUCAUAAGCCCAUCAAAUAUGGACGAUAUCAUGAAUAGCAGAGAGUUCACAUACACCUGAGCUUUGGUGUACAUAGGAUCAUUUUCUCAGAUACUUUAGUUGAGCAUUCUAUAAUAUUUUA
Molecule: long non-coding RNA, 1520 nt
Organism: Magnolia sinica
Lineage: Eukaryota; Viridiplantae; Streptophyta; Magnoliopsida; Magnoliales; Magnoliaceae
Exons: 4
Source: RefSeq, a predicted model, not a curated record